UGAGGAAUAUUGGGCAAUGCCCGCAAGGGUGACCCAGCGACGCCGCGUGGAGGAUGAAUGUCGUAAGAUUGUAAACUCCUGUUAGAGGGGAAGAAUAGUACCGGUUGGACCGGUAUAUGACUGUACCCUCAGAGAAAGCCCCGGCUAACUACGUGCCAGCAGCCGCGGUAAUACGUAGGGGGCAAGCGUUGUCCGGAUUUACUGGGUGUAAAGGGCGCGCAGGCGGGAUAAAAAGUCAGUGGUGAAAUCCUACAGCUUAACUGUAGAACUGCCUUUGAUACUUUUAUUCUUGAGUUCGGGAGAGAGAGACGGAAUUCCAGGUGUAGUGGUGAAAUACGUAGAUAUCUGGAAGAACACCAGUUGCGAAGGCGGUCUCUUGGACCGACACUGACGCUGAGGCGCGAAAGCGUGGGGAGCAAACA
This 422-nucleotide ribosomal RNA is filed under the name uncultured bacterium. RNAcentral's name for it is "bacterial SSU rRNA". It matches the Rfam family "Bacterial small subunit ribosomal RNA", at positions 355 to 774 of the family's 1533-position model. The record is from RNAcentral.